Molecule: ribosomal RNA, 1762 nt
Filed under: human gut metagenome
Description: bacterial LSU rRNA
Rfam family: Bacterial large subunit ribosomal RNA
Source: RNAcentral
GAGUAGGGCGGGACACGUGGUAUCCUGUCUGAAUAUGGGGGGACCAUCCUCCAAGGCUAAAUACUCCUGACUGACCGAUAGUGAACCAGUACCGUGAGGGAAAGGCGAAAAGAACCCCGGCGAGGGGAGUGAAAAAGAACCUGAAACCGUGUACGUACAAGCAGUGGGAGCACGCUUAGGCGUGUGACUGCGUACCUUUUGUAUAAUGGGUCAGCGACUUAUAUUCUGUAGCAAGGUUAACCGAAUAGGGGAGCCGAAGGGAAACCGAGUCUUAACUGGGCGUUAAGUUGCAGGGUAUAGACCCGAAACCCGGUGAUCUAGCCAUGGGCAGGUUGAAGGUUGGGUAACACUAACUGGAGGACCGAACCGACUAAUGUUGAAAAAUUAGCGGAUGACUUGUGGCUGGGGGUGAAAGGCCAAUCAAACCGGGAGAUAGCUGGUUCUCCCCGAAAGCUAUUUAGGUAGCGCCUCGUGAAUUCAUCUCCGGGGGUAGAGCACUGUUUCGGCAAGGGGGUCAUCCCGACUUACCAACCCGAUGCAAACUGCGAAUACCGGAGAAUGUUAUCACGGGAGACACACGGCGGGUGCUAACGUCCGUCGUGAAGAGGGAAACAACCCAGACCGCCAGCUAAGGUCCCAAAGUCAUGGUUAAGUGGGAAACGAUGUGGGAAGGCCCAGACAGCCAGGAUGUUGGCUUAGAAGCAGCCAUCAUUUAAAGAAAGCGUAAUAGCUCACUGGUCGAGUCGGCCUGCGCGGAAGAUGUAACGGGGCUAAACCAUGCACCGAAGCUGCGGCAGCGACGCUUAUGCGUUGUUGGGUAGGGGAGCGUUCUGUAAGCCUGUGAAGGUGUGCUGUGAGGCAUGCUGGAGGUAUCAGAAGUGCGAAUGCUGACAUAAGUAACGAUAAAGCGGGUGAAAAGCCCGCUCGCCGGAAGACCAAGGGUUCCUGUCCAACGUUAAUCGGGGCAGGGUGAGUCGACCCCUAAGGCGAGGCCGAAAGGCGUAGUCGAUGGGAAACAGGUUAAUAUUCCUGUACUUGGUGUUACUGCGAAGGGGGGACGGAGAAGGCUAUGUUGGCCGGGCGACGGUUGUCCCGGUUUAAGCGUGUAGGCUGGUUUUCCAGGCAAAUCCGGAAAAUCAAGGCUGAGGCGUGAUGACGAGGCACUACGGUGCUGAAGCAACAAAUGCCCUGCUUCCAGGAAAAGCCUCUAAGCAUCAGGUAACAUCAAAUCGUACCCCAAACCGACACAGGUGGUCAGGUAGAGAAUACCAAGGCGCUUGAGAGAACUCGGGUGAAGGAACUAGGCAAAAUGGUGCCGUAACUUCGGGAGAAGGCACGCUGAUAUGUAGGUGAAGCGACUUGCUCGUGGAGCUGAAAUCAGUCGAAGAUACCAGCUGGCUGCAACUGUUUAUUAAAAACACAGCACUGUGCAAACACGAAAGUGGACGUAUACGGUGUGACGCCUGCCCGGUGCCGGAAGGUUAAUUGAUGGGGUCAGCGCAAGCGAAGCUCUUGAUCGAAGCCCCGGUAAACGGCGGCCGUAACUAUAACGGUCCUAAGGUAGCGAAAUUCCUUGUCGGGUAAGUUCCGACCUGCACGAAUGGCGUAAUGAUGGCCAGGCUGUCUCCACCCGAGACUCAGUGAAAUUGAACUCGCUGUGAAGAUGCAGUGUACCCGCGGCAAGACGGAAAGACCCCGUGAACCUUUACUAUAGCUUGACACUGAACAUUGAGCCUUGAUGUGUAGGAUAGGUGGGAGGCUU